AUAGCUCAAAUUUAAAAUCUGGCCCCCGCGGCCCGAAUUGUAGUCUAAAGAGGUGCUAUCGCGAGCGACGCUGUGCACAAGUGUCCUGGAAUGGACCGUCACAGAGGGUGAGAACCCCGUUUGGGUACAGCGAAGCGAGCAUAUGAGGCACUCUCGAAGAGUCGAGUUGUUUGGGAAUGCAGCUCAAAAUGGGUGGUAAACUUCAUCCAAGGCUAAAUAUUGGCAAGAGACCGAUAGCGAA
Molecule: ribosomal RNA, 241 nt
Filed under: Russulales sp. 4 CRJH-2017
Lineage: Eukaryota; Fungi; Basidiomycota; Agaricomycetes; Russulales
Description: partial 28S ribosomal RNA
Rfam family: Eukaryotic large subunit ribosomal RNA
Source: RNAcentral